CAAGUGCAGUCAAAUCACUAGGAGAAGGGGUUUCAUACAGAUCAGUUGGUCUUUUGAUCUGCUACUGCGACUUCUUGUGUUUAUAUGGAUAUAAAAUGGUGCUGAUUAUUUGUGCCGCACUAAAUGACUUGGAAAUUGCUGCAAAACAUAUGAUUUUUUUAAUUGAGGCUAUGUACUUAAGUGCCUGCUGCUUUCCUUUUUGCUUGCAUUCUAAUGAUGAGGCAACUUUAAGUGUUAUAAUUUAUGGAGGCGUUGCAGCCAUAUGCUAGACCUUCAAAGAUGAGGCAUAGUAGGCAGUCCCUGUUGCUGUAACAUAUGUUCAACCAAACAGGCUCUUAGUGUUUAAGCAUUUUUCUUUGCUUAAUAUCAUUCCACCGCUAAUCAGUGGGUAGAACUGAGCGGUCUUUAUAGUGUCACUUAAGCAAUACUGACUUGUUUGUUUCUUCUUUUCAUCAUUAUCAUCUUGAUCGUCGUCACCAUCAUCAUUGUUAUUACUUUUGUUUUUCUCUAUUUAUCAUUGACUUAGAUUGCAGUGAUCAAGUUUCCUUUUUAUUUUAGUUACUUUUAAAAAAAUAUGGAGAAGCUGUGAUGAUUUGCCAACGGAAGUGUGUAUUAUGCUGCAUUCUAGGAAUGUGUUGGUUCUGGUUCAGGGUUUGCGAGAUCUGUUUGUAAAUUUUCUCCUUUUCCUGUUUCUGCAGUACUGUGAUGGCGAGGUAAUUGUUGGCAACUUCUAUUAUGUUGUCACCUUUGCAGCCAUUUUCUUGAUCUGCGGACCUGUAGAGGUGAAAGAGUUGGUUUGUUCCUAACAAUUCUAAUGAUUGAUAUAAAGCAAAUCUGAGCUUUCAGUGGUCUUCUCAUGAAUCUUUUUUCCAGGGUUAAUUUUAUAAAUCCCCCUAUG
Molecule: long non-coding RNA, 898 nt
Organism: Asparagus officinalis (garden asparagus)
Lineage: Eukaryota; Viridiplantae; Streptophyta; Magnoliopsida; Asparagales; Asparagaceae
Exons: 2
Source: RefSeq, a predicted model, not a curated record